GCGAUAGGAGAUACUCACGCUUGCCCGGGGGUGGAUCACUCGGCUCGU
RNAcentral lists this ribosomal RNA (48 nucleotides) under Colaspis brunnea (grape colaspis). Its description in RNAcentral is "partial 5.8S ribosomal RNA". Lineage: Eukaryota; Metazoa; Arthropoda; Insecta; Coleoptera; Chrysomelidae. The record is from RNAcentral.